GGCAGGAUAGCUCAGUUGGCUAGAGCACAGGACUCAUAAGCCUGGGGUCGUGGGUUCGAACCCCACUCCUGCUACGA
This 77-nucleotide transfer RNA is filed under the name Candidatus Moraniibacteriota bacterium. RNAcentral's name for it is "Candidatus Moranbacteria bacterium (sediment metagenome) tRNA-Met". It matches the Rfam family "tRNA". Rfam says of the family: Transfer RNA (tRNA) molecules are approximately 80 nucleotides in length. Their secondary structure includes four short double-helical elements and three loops (D, anti-codon, and T loops). Further hydrogen bonds mediate the characteristic L-shaped molecular structure. tRNAs have two regions of fundamental functional importance: the anti-codon, which is responsible for specific mRNA codon recognition, and the 3' end, to which the tRNAs corresponding amino acid is attached (by aminoacyl-tRNA synthetases). tRNAs cope with the degeneracy of the genetic code in two manners: having more than one tRNA (with a specific anti-codon) for a particular amino acid; and 'wobble' base-pairing, i.e. permitting non-standard base-pairing at the 3rd anti-codon position. Lineage: Bacteria; Candidatus Moraniibacteriota. The record is from RNAcentral.